UGAGUAACCUGCCCUUAACUCUGGGAUAAGCCUGGGAAACUGGGUCUAAUACCGAAUAUGACUUCGGAUCGCAUGAUCUGAAGUGGAAAGCUCCGGCGGUGAAGGAUGAGCUCGCGGCCUAUCAGCUUGUUGGGGAGGUAAUAGCUCACCAAGGCGAUGACGGGUAGCCGGCCUGAGAGGGUGACCGGCCACACUGGGACUGAGACACGGCCCAGACUCCUACGGGAGCAG
Molecule: ribosomal RNA, 231 nt
Filed under: uncultured bacterium
Lineage: Bacteria
Description: partial 16S ribosomal RNA
Rfam family: Bacterial small subunit ribosomal RNA
Source: RNAcentral